GAUUUGCUACCUGGGUCCACACGGGUUGACCCUAACAGCAGUAAGCAAGUCUCAGCUUCAAAUGUACAGAGAAGACUUCGAGCUGCAGGCAUGACAGGACGAGUUGAAGCAAGAAAGCCAUCGGACAUUUGUACGCCAUCAAGAAGGCAAAUUUUUGGUUCCACAGUGUGUGGCAUCAACUGUCAAACAUGGAGGAGGAAGUGCGAUGGUCUGGGGCUGUUUUGCUGGAUCCAGGUUCAGUGACUUGUACAGAGGGAGAGGCACCCUGAACCAAAACGACUACCACAACAUUCUGCAGCGGCAUGCAACACCCUCUGGUAUGAACCUAGUUGGUCAGGGGUUCAUCCUACAGCAAGAUAAUGACCCAAAACAUAAUUCCAAGCUUUGCCAGACUACCUCAGGAAAAAAAGAACAAGAUGGUAACCUUGAAAUCAGGGAGUGGCCAGCACAGUCUCCAGACUCAAACCUUUGGUUUGGGUUGGACUUGGCAGAAGAGUGAAACCAAAGCAACAUACAAGUGCCACUCAUUUAUGGGAACCUCUGCAUCAGAUAUGAGAAGAACUUUCUAAAAGAAUAUUCGAUAUUUUUUGUUUUAUUGUAGAAUGAAUCCCACGGGUGUGUUCAGCUGUUAUAUCUGUCAAAGGUGGCUGCUUUGAUGGGUCAAAAGUUUAGAAUACAUUUUGGUUCAUAAAUUGAUUCCAUGAUUUCUUUUUUUUAAACUCCAACUGCAUAUUUGUAAUAUUCAUUCGUUUCAUUUCA
This is a long non-coding RNA of Oreochromis niloticus (Nile tilapia), 759 nucleotides long. RefSeq lists it as uncharacterized. The transcript has 2 exons. Lineage: Eukaryota; Metazoa; Chordata; Actinopteri; Cichliformes; Cichlidae. The record is from RefSeq and is a predicted model, not a curated record.